ACUCAUACUUGGCAGUUACAAGGUGGUUCACCCAGGCUCAGCCAUUGCACUCCGGUUGCGCUGACCCCUGCGAAUUCCCCAAAUGUGGGAGUCUCGACUGCAUAAUUUCUGGUAGUGGGGGACUGCGUUCGCGCUCUCCCCUG
Molecule: small nuclear RNA, 143 nt
Filed under: Lates calcarifer (barramundi perch)
Lineage: Eukaryota; Metazoa; Chordata; Actinopteri; Centropomidae
Description: U1 spliceosomal RNA (ENSLCAG00010009496.1)
Rfam family: U1 spliceosomal RNA
About the family: U1 is a small nuclear RNA (snRNA) component of the spliceosome (involved in pre-mRNA splicing).
Source: Rfam by way of RNAcentral